AUGAGUAGACACAAAGCUAAGUAUUCAUCUUCAGAAAUAAUUGGUUGUUGCUCCUCCAUGAUGAGGCCGCUACGAGGUCGUUUCGAUCUCAUCUUGCUAUUUGUCCAUGAUUCAAGGUAAUUUUGAGUAGUAGUAUUAAUUUGGAAUUGAAAUAGUGAUGGUGGAGUUGUUGUGGUUGGAGAAUUCAAAGCUUCAAGUGCCAUAACUAGUUGUUUUUUUCUUAGUGAUUGAAGAAAUUUGUGAGUGAAAAGAAGAUAAA
This 259-nucleotide unclassified non-coding RNA is filed under the name Hevea brasiliensis (rubber tree). Lineage: Eukaryota; Viridiplantae; Streptophyta; Magnoliopsida; Malpighiales; Euphorbiaceae. The record is from RNAcentral.